GAUGAAGAACGUAGUAAAAUGCGAUAAGUAAUGUGAAUUGCAGAAUUCAGUGAAUCAUCGAAUCUUUGAACGCACAUUGCGCCCGCUGGUAUUCCGGCGGGCAUGCCUGUUCGAGCGUCAUUUCAACCCUCAAGCCCCCGGGUUUGGUGUUGGGGAUCGACUCUGCCCUUCUGGGCGGUGCCGCCCCCGAAAUACAUUGGCGGUCUCGCUGCAGCCUCCAUUGCGUAGUAGCUAACACCUCGCAACUGGAACGCGGCGCGGCCAUGCCGUAAAACCCCAACUUCUGAAUGUUGACCUCGGAUCAGGUAGGAAUACCCGCUGAACUUAAGCAUAUCAAUAAGCGGAGGA
Molecule: unclassified non-coding RNA, 348 nt
Filed under: soil metagenome
Description: partial contains 5.8S ribosomal RNA, internal transcribed spacer 2, and large subunit ribosomal RNA
Rfam family: 5.8S ribosomal RNA (bases 1-120)
Source: RNAcentral